This 2912-nucleotide ribosomal RNA is filed under the name metagenome. RNAcentral describes it as "bacterial LSU rRNA". It matches the Rfam family "Bacterial large subunit ribosomal RNA". The record is from RNAcentral.
AUAAGAGCACACGGGGGAUGCCUAGGCAAAAAGAGCCGAAGAAGGACGUGAUAAGCUGCGAAAAGCUUAGGGGAGCUGCAAAUGAGCGAAGAUCCUGAGAUAUCCGAAUGGGAGAACCUGUAUAAUAGGAGAUUAUACACGAAAGAGGUAAGCGGAUGAACUGAAACAUCUAAGUAAUCCGAGGAAGAGAAAGUAAAAACGAUUUUCUAAGUAGCGGCGAGCGAACGGGAAAGAGCCUAAACCAUUGCAAUGAAUAAGGAUACAGCCGUUGUUGUAAUGGGGUAGUGGGUCAUAUUUAGAAGAACUGUAAGAUAUUCAAUAUGUUUGUAAAAGGAAGUGGAACCAUUUGGAAAGGUGGACCAUAGUAGGUGAAAGUCCAGUACACGUAAAUUUUAUGAACGUAUAAUAUGAACCCGAGUAGCACGGAACACGAGAAAUUUUGUGUGAAUCAGCGUGGACCAAAUCACGUAAGGCUAAAUACUCUUUUUGACCGAUAGUGAAUAGUACCGUGAGGGAAAGGUGAAAAGAACCCCUGGAGGGGAUUGAAAUAGAAACUGAAACCGUGUGCUUACAAGCGGUCGGAGCUGUGAAAACAGUGACGGCGUGCCUAUUGGAGAAUGAUCCUGCGAGUUACCUUUAGUGGCAAGGUUAAGGAAACGGAGCCGAAGGGAAACCGAGUCUGAAAAGGGCGAAAAGUCGCUAGAGGUAGACGCGAAACUUGGUGAUCUAUGCCAGUCCAGGUUGAAGCUUAGGUAAGACUAAGUGGAGGACCGAACCCACCGUCGUUGAAAAGCCGGGGGAUGAGACGGGUAUAGGGGUGAAAAGCCAAUCGAACCUGGAGAUAGCUCGUUCUCUCCGAAAUGCAUUUAGGUGCAGCCUUAUUUAUAAUCUAUGGAGGUAGAGCACUGAAUAGCGUAGGGGGCAUAUAGCUUACUGAAACUAAUCAAACUCCGAAUGCCAUAGAUGUAGAGAAUAGGAGUGAGACUGCGAGUGCUAAGAUUCGUAGUCGAGAGGGAAAGAACCCAGACCACCAACUAAGGUCCCAAAAUAAUAUCUAAGUGGGAAAGGAGGUGGAGAUUCUGAAACAACCAGGAAGUUGGCUUAGAAGCAGCCAUACCUUUAAAGAGUGCGUAAUAGCUCACUGGUCGAGAGUCUCUGCGCCGACAAUGUAACGGGGCUAAGAUAUAUACCGAAGUUGUGGAUUUACCGUAAGGUAAGUGGUAGGAGAGCGUCCUGUAAGCCGUAGAAGAAGAACUGAAAGGUUUUUUGGAGGUAUCAGGAGUGAGAAUGCAGGAAUGAGUAGCGAGAAAAUGGGUGAGAAUCCCAUUCGCCGAAAAUCUAAGGUUUUCAGGGGCAGGUUCGUCCGCCCUGAGGAAGUCGGGACCUAAGCAGAAGCUGAGAAGCGUAAGCGAAAGGAUAACAGUUUAAUAUUACUGUACCGCUAUAUAUAAGUGAAGGAGGGACGCAGGAAGAUAUACAUACGCACGGUUGGAAGAGUGCGGAGAAGGUUGAAGGGAAGAUAUAUAGGAAAAUCCGUGUAUCUAUAUUCUGAGGACUGAUCUAAAGUAACUGUAAAGGUUAUGAAUUUGUAGAUUCUACACUGCCGAGAAAAGCUUCUAAGCGAUAUAAAGUAUAUAGUGCCCGUACCGUAAACCGACACAGGUGGAAAGGGUGAGAAACCUAAGGCGAGCAGGCGAAUUGUCGUUAAGGAACUCUGCAAAAUGACCCCGUAACUUAGGGAGAAGGGGAGCCUAAAGAUGUGAAGUGUGCACACAUGGAGCAGAACUAGGCCGCAGUGAAAAGGCUCAAGCAACUGUUUAACAAAAACACAGGUCUAUGCGAAGCUGGAAAGCGAAGUAUAUGGGCUGACACCUGCCCAGUGCUGGAAGGUUAAGAGGAGGGGUGAGAGCCUCAAAUUGAAGCCCCAGUGAACGGCGGCCGUAACUAUAACGGUCCUAAGGUAGCGAAAUUCCUUGUCGGGUAAGUUCCGACCUGCACGAAUGGUGUAAUGAUUUGAGCGCUGUCUUGACGGCAAGCCUGGUGAAAUUGUAAUAUGGGUGAAGAUACCCAUUACCCGCAGUAGGACGGAAAGACCCCAUGGAGCUUUACUGUAGCUUGAUAUUGGGCUUUGACACUACAUGUAUAGGAUAGUUGGGAGACGAAGAGAGAUUGUCGCUAGAUGAUAAGGAGUCGUUGUUGGAAUACCAACCAUGUAUUGUUAGGGUUCUAAUCCGAAGAAGAAGUUUGGAGACAGUAUUAGGUGGGCAGUUUGACUGGGGCGGUCGCCUCCGAAAAGGUAACGGAGGCGUCCAAAGGUUCCCUCAGACUGGAUGGAAAUCAGUCGAAGAGUGCAAAGGCAGAAGGGAGCUUGACUGAAAGACAGACAUGUCGAUCAGGGUCGAAAGACGGGCUUAGUGAUCCGGUGGUUUCUGAAUGGAAAGGCCAUCGCUCAACGGAUAAAAGCUACCCUGGGGAUAACAGGCUGAUACUUCCCGAGAGUCCAUAUCGACGGGAGUGUUUGGCACCUCGAUGUCGGCUCGUCUCAUCCUGGGGCUGGAGAAGGUCCCAAGGGUUGGGCUGUUCGCCCAUUAAAGAGGCACGCGAGCUGGGUUCAGAACGUCGUGAGACAGUUCGGUCCCUAUCCACUGCGGGCGUAGGAGUAUUGAGAAGAUCUGUCCUUAGUACGAGAGGACCGGGAUGGACAAACCUCUGAUGUACCAGUUGUCACGCCAGUGGCACAGCUGGGUAGUCACGUUUGGAAGAGAUAACCGCUGAAAGCAUCUAAGUGGGAAACUCACUUCAAGAUAAAUACUGCCGUAAGGGAGCUUAGAGAACAUGAGCUUGAUAGGCUGGGGGUGUAAGUGUAGUAAUACAUUUAGCUGACCAGUACUAAUAACCCGAGAACUUAAUCU